This 76-nucleotide transfer RNA is filed under the name Domibacillus mangrovi. Its description in RNAcentral is "tRNA-Phe". It matches the Rfam family "tRNA". From Rfam's summary of the family: Transfer RNA (tRNA) molecules are approximately 80 nucleotides in length. Their secondary structure includes four short double-helical elements and three loops (D, anti-codon, and T loops). The record is from RNAcentral. Lineage: Bacteria; Bacillati; Bacillota; Bacilli; Caryophanales; Bacillaceae.
GGCUCAGUAGCUCAGUUGGUAGAGCAAAGGACUGAAAAUCCUUGUGUCGGCGGUUCGAUUCCGUCCUGAGCCAUCA